This 1542-nucleotide long non-coding RNA is filed under the name Homo sapiens (human). Its description in RNAcentral is "MIR4435-2 host gene". The record is from RNAcentral. Lineage: Eukaryota; Metazoa; Chordata; Mammalia; Primates; Hominidae.
CUUUUUUUUUUUUCCUUCUUAGUCGUGUGUACAUCAUUGGGAAUGGAGGGAAAUAAAUGACUGGAUGGUCGCUGCUUUUUAAGUUUCAAAUUGACAUUCCAGACAAGCGGUGCCUGAGCCCGUGCCUGUCUUCAGAUCUUCACAGCACAGUUCCUGGGAAGGUGGAGCCACCAGCCUCUCCCUGACAAGCAAAGUGGAUCAGCAAAGGCUGCAGUCACCAGCAUCUUUUCCAACCUUAAUGAACUGUAUCCUCAAAAGAACACUAUCAGACUGGCUCUGCCGACUUCCAGUUCUGGAACAAGAUGGUUAAACUCAUUUUUCCCUGCUCUGCUCCUCUAAAUACAACUAAGUACCUUGGAAACUAUUCAGCAGACAAUGAUAAAGGGCUCUGAAAGCUAGAAGAAAAGGUGUACUUGCAAGAAACCUCAGGACUUGAGUAACAGCAACAUGGCAGGCCAGAAAGCAGACCCAGGGAGGAUAGCACAUGUCUUCGGCUACACUGGUGAAGGCAUCGUGCCUGCUCCACAGCACAUUUUUAUUCAAGUCUUGGACGAGCCUGAGGAUGUCUACAAGUGGAAGAAAAGAAGCCACUGGAGCAGAAGGUGGGGAGGAUAAAAUUUGGAGCAAGAUUCUCAAGGAAGCAACAAGAUCCUAAGGAAAGGAGAAAGAGACUACCUACUGCAUUUCUGUCACUCGCUGAAAAGGACACUCUGUCAGAAAAUCUUCUAGCAAACUUCAAAGGGCAAAAUCACCCCUUGUUACUGAUAAAGCCCAGAGAGCUUCAGCAGCUAACAUUCCCUGGACAGGGCACAGCAAGGAUUUGAACCUAGGUCAGUCUGGCCAGAACACCCACAAGCUUUCCUUAACUCAGUGUGCUAUCUCCCCACGACUAGGUCACUACUGCUUUAUAAUCACCUUUGUAGCCACCAGUGGAUUUUGCUCAUCAGUAUUUUUCAGGCAAUUGAUACUUUAGAUAUUCAGCUGCAAGACGUAUGCAGUUUUCAUUGACAUCUUUUGGAGAAACUGACAAACCUGGACUUGACUUAAUGCCUUUGGAACCUUCCAAGAUGUUAUAUAACUCUAGAUAGAAGGCUGGGCCUCCAUGAUGUCAGGAAUGUUGCAUUCUUAUUUCCCCAUAGAUAAACCCAUUUGUCCACAAAGUCAAGGAGUCAGGCAGAGGCCCUUGCCAUGGGGCUUUUUAGGAUAAAGCAACAAGCCUGGACUUUGCUCUACAACAGGGUUUUGCAUAGGGAGUGGUAUGACCAGAUCCCUCAAGAAAGAAAGCUUAGAGACCAGGCCAGAGUCCACUGCAGUAGCCCAGUCAAGAGAGGAUGGUGACUUGGACUUGUAGUAGAGCCAGUUAGAAUGAAAGAAAUUGACACAUUCAGAAAUGGUUUUAGAGAUAGAGUCAAACUGGACCUGAUAAAGAACUAGAGAAGCGGAGUGAGGAUAAAGAGAAGAGCCAUGACUGACUCGGAAGAUUUUGUCUUGAAAAACUUGAGAACUCAAGACAGAGUGAAAUAAAAUCACAUGUGGGAAAAA